AAAUGUGCCAGUACCUUCACAUAAUAAACGACAAUGAUUUUAUAGACGGGCACGAAGACAGAUCAACAUCACUGAGUGGAGCGGAUGAAACGCCCUUGAAUGUGGCAGCGGUGCAGGUAAUGAGUCCCGAAAUUCUCAGAAAAUAGAAAUGGAGGCCGAACCUGCAGAUGUGGAUGGCAGUGAUGUGAAUGAUGGAGCAUCUACACAGAAAAGAUGCUGGAAUCCAGAAAUUUCUUCACCUGGGGCCUACUGGGGAUGGCAAUAAACAAAAACUAACCAAGCUGUGGGAAUACAAACCUGUAGACCUUUAGCUGAACCACUAUAAUUGAUGUUCUGUUUCUUAUGCCUGUUCAGUGUUUUGAUCAGUUAUAUAUGUAAUUGUUUCUUUUUUGUCCUGUUUGAUUGUGCAGGUCAGUAACUUUUUUUUUCUAUUUAAAUAAAUUCUGUUUAAAUAAAGAUGCUUCUUUGUGUAGCUUUCUGUACCAUUUAACAUUUAAGGCUAAAGGUGUGAAAUGUGCAAUGCACUGCAACUUUGUAGAGUGUCUUACAUGUGUCUACAACCUCUAUUUAAAGAUCAAAGAUCACAUAUUAAAAUA
Long non-coding RNA from Labeo rohita (rohu), 596 nucleotides. RefSeq lists it as uncharacterized. NCBI's taxonomy places the organism in Eukaryota, Metazoa, Chordata, Actinopteri, Cypriniformes, Cyprinidae. The record is from RefSeq and is a predicted model, not a curated record. The transcript is spliced from 3 exons.